Molecule: transfer RNA, 71 nt
Filed under: Dactylellina haptotyla CBS 200.50
Lineage: Eukaryota; Fungi; Ascomycota; Orbiliomycetes; Orbiliales; Orbiliaceae
Description: tRNA-Gly (CCC) (tRNA-Gly-CCC-1-1)
Rfam family: tRNA
About the family: Transfer RNA (tRNA) molecules are approximately 80 nucleotides in length. Their secondary structure includes four short double-helical elements and three loops (D, anti-codon, and T loops). Further hydrogen bonds mediate the characteristic L-shaped molecular structure. tRNAs have two regions of fundamental functional importance: the anti-codon, which is responsible for specific mRNA codon recognition, and the 3' end, to which the tRNAs corresponding amino acid is attached (by aminoacyl-tRNA synthetases). tRNAs cope with the degeneracy of the genetic code in two manners: having more than one tRNA (with a specific anti-codon) for a particular amino acid; and 'wobble' base-pairing, i.e. permitting non-standard base-pairing at the 3rd anti-codon position.
Source: RNAcentral
GCUGCUGUGGUCUAGCGGUAUGAUGUUCGUUUCCCAUGCGGACGAUCCGGGUUCGACUCCCGGCGGCAGCA